RNAcentral lists this ribosomal RNA (492 nucleotides) under uncultured bacterium. Its description in RNAcentral is "partial 16S ribosomal RNA". It matches the Rfam family "Bacterial small subunit ribosomal RNA", at positions 29 to 507 of the family's 1533-position model. The record is from RNAcentral.
AGUGAACGCUGGCGGUAGGCCUAACACAUGCAAGUCGAACGGCAGCACAGUAAGAGCUUGCUCUUACGGGUGGCGAGUGGCGGACGGGUGAGGAAUACAUCGGAAUCUACUUUUUCGUGGAGGAUAACGUAGGGAAACUUACGCUAAUACCGCAUACGACCUACGGGUGAAAGCAGGGGAUCUUCGGACCUUGCGCGAUUGAAUGAGCCGAUGUCGGAUUAGCUAGUUGGCGGGGUAAAGGCCCACCAAGGCGACGAUCCGUAGCUGGUCUGAGAGGAUGAUCAGCCACACUGGAACUGAGACACGGUCCAGACUCCUACGGGAGGCAGCAGUGGGGAAUAUUGGACAAUGGGGGCAAGCCUGAUCCAGCCAUACCGCGUGGGUGAAGGAGGCCUUCGGGUUGUAAAGCCCUUUUGUUGGGAAAGAAAAGCAGCAGGUUAAUACCCCGCUGUUCUGACGGUACCCAAAGAAUAAGCACCGGCUAACUUCGUG